This 465-nucleotide ribosomal RNA is filed under the name Vreelandella stevensii. RNAcentral describes it as "partial 16S ribosomal RNA". It matches the Rfam family "Bacterial small subunit ribosomal RNA", at positions 338 to 795 of the family's 1533-position model. The record is from RNAcentral. Lineage: Bacteria; Pseudomonadati; Pseudomonadota; Gammaproteobacteria; Oceanospirillales; Halomonadaceae.
CCUACGGGGGGCAGCAGUGGGGAAUAUUGGACAAUGGGCGAAAGCCUGAUCCAGCCAUGCCGCGUGUGUGAAGAAGGCCUUCGGGUUGUAAAGCACUUUCAGUGGGGAAGAAAGCCUUGGGGCUAAUACCCUCGAGGAAGGACAUCACCCACAGAAGAAGCACCGGCUAACUCCGUGCCAGCAGCCGCGGUAAUACGGAGGGUGCGAGCGUUAAUCGGAAUUACUGGGCGUAAAGCGCGCGUAGGCGGUCUGAUAAGCCGGUUGUGAAAGCCCCGGGCUCAACCUGGGAACGGCAUCCGGAACUGUCAGGCUAGAGUGCAGGAGAGGAAGGUAGAAUUCCCGGUGUAGCGGUGAAAUGCGUAGAGAUCGGGAGGAAUACCAGUGGCGAAGGCGGUCUUCUGGACUGACACUGACGCUGAGGUGCGAAAGCGUGGGUAGCAAACAGGAUUAGAUACCCCUGUAGUC